CCUAUGCUUAGCUUAUAUAUUUAAAGUGUUGGUUUGAAGCUCCAGAGAAAGAUUUGUUCUAGCUUAGGG
This 69-nucleotide transfer RNA is filed under the name Azygia robusta. RNAcentral's name for it is "tRNA-Phe". The record is from RNAcentral. Lineage: Eukaryota; Metazoa; Platyhelminthes; Trematoda; Azygiida; Azygiidae.